GAUGCUAUGAUGAGAUUAAGCACAAACUGUGUGUUAAGGGUAGUGGGGUGGACUUGGAAAUCCUCCCCGUGAACCUACUUAUUUUAACGACUUCUCCUUCCACUGAGCACU
Mangifera indica (mango) is the source of this 111-nucleotide small nucleolar RNA. RefSeq annotates it as small nucleolar RNA Z152/R70/R12. The transcript has a single exon. The record is from RefSeq and is a predicted model, not a curated record. Lineage: Eukaryota; Viridiplantae; Streptophyta; Magnoliopsida; Sapindales; Anacardiaceae.